AUUGAACGCUGGCGGCAGGCUUAACACAUGCAAGUCGAGCGGGGUGAUGGUGCUUGCACUAUCACUUAGCGGCGGACGGGUGAGUAAUGCUUAGGAAUCUGCCUAUUAGUGGGGGACAACAUCUCGAAAGGGAUGCUAAUACCGCAUACGUCCUACGGGAGAAAGCAGGGGAUCACUUGUGACCUUGCGCUAAUAGAUGAGCCUAAGUCGGAUUAGCUAGUUGGUAGGGUAAAGGCCUACCAAGGCGACGAUCUGUAGCGGGUCUGAGAGGAUGAUCCGCCACACGGGGACUGAGACACGGACCAGACUCCUGCGGGAGGCAGCAGUGGGGAAUAUUGGACAAUGGGGGGAACCCUGAUCCAGCCAUGCCGCGUGUGUGAAGAAGGCCUUAUGGUUGUAAAGCACUUUAAGCGAGGAGGAGGCUCUUUUGGUUAAUACCCAAGAUGAGUGGACGUUACUCGCAGAAUAAGCACCGGCUAACUCUGUGCCAGCCGCCGCAGUAA
Molecule: ribosomal RNA, 503 nt
Filed under: uncultured bacterium
Lineage: Bacteria
Description: partial 16S ribosomal RNA
Rfam family: Bacterial small subunit ribosomal RNA
Source: RNAcentral